Molecule: ribosomal RNA, 499 nt
Filed under: uncultured bacterium
Lineage: Bacteria
Description: partial 16S ribosomal RNA
Rfam family: Bacterial small subunit ribosomal RNA
Source: RNAcentral
GAUGAACGCUGGCGGCGUGCCUAAUACAUGCAAGUCGAGCGAACAGACGAGAGUGCUUGCACUCUCUGACGUUAGCGGCGGACGGGUGAGUAACACGUGGGUAACCUACCUAUAAGACUGGGAUAACUUCGGGAAACCGGAGCUAAUACCGGAUAAUAUUUAGCUUCGCAUGAAGCAAUAGUGAAAGACGGUUCUGCUGUCACUUAUAGAUGGACCCGCGGUGUAUUAGCUAGUUGGUGAGGUAACGGCUCACCAAGGCAACGAUACAUAGCCGACCUGAGAGGGUGAACGGCCACACUGGGACUGAGACACGGCCCAGACUCCUACGGGAGGCAGCAGUAGGGAAUCUUCCGCAAUGGACGAAAGUCUGACGGAGCAAUGCCGCGUGAGUGAAGAAGGUUUUCGGAUCGUAAAACUCUGUUGUAAGGGAAGAACAAGUACGUUAGUAACUGAACGUACCUUGACGGUACCUUACCAGAAAGCCACGGCUAACUACGUG